AAUUGUCAAAAAAUACGCAAACUUAAAUUUUAUUGUAAUUUUUUCAUGAUUCAAAUUUCAGUCAAAAUCGAAUCUGACAUUAUGUCAACGUGACAUAACUCUAAGGGGUUAUUGCCAUAAAAUACACCAAGUUUAUCAAUUUUCUGGUUUAUAUCAUCACUUUUUUUUUUGCCAGAAAAUACAUGAAUUUAUAAUUUGUUCUCA
This 204-nucleotide long non-coding RNA is filed under the name Salvia miltiorrhiza (redroot sage). RNAcentral's name for it is "long non-coding RNA (SMIL_LNC013367)". Lineage: Eukaryota; Viridiplantae; Streptophyta; Magnoliopsida; Lamiales; Lamiaceae. The record is from RNAcentral.